AUGCCCAAAGGAAAGAAGGCCAAGGGGAUAAGGUAGCACCGGCCCGGCCCCUGCAGUCAUGAAGAAGCAGGAGGCCAAGAAGGUAGUAAAUCCUCUGUCUGAAAAAAGGCCCAAGAACUUUGGCAUUGGACAGGGCAUCCAACCCAAAAGGGACCUCACUACAUCCAGCUGCAGAGCCAAAGGGCAAGCCUCUGCAAGCAGCUGAAAGUGCCCCAUGCAAUUAACCAGUUUACCCAGGCCUUGGACCGCCAGACAGCUACACAGCUACUUAAGCCGGCCCACAAGUACAGGCCAGAGACAAAACAAGAGAAGAAGCAGAGACUGUUGGCCCGAGCUGAGAAGAAAGCUGCUGGCAAAGGAGACGUCACCACUAAGCAACCGCUAGUCCUUCAAGCAGGGGUUAUUACCUUGGUGGAGAACAAGAAGGCCCAGCUUGUGGUGACUGCACAUGAUGUGGACCUAUCGAGCUGGUUGUAUUCCUGCCUGCCCUGAGCCGCAAGAUGGGUGUUCCCUACUGCAUCAUUAAGGGGAAGGCCAGGCUGGGGCAUCUCGUCUACAGGAAAACAGGCACCACCGUUGCCUUCACUCAGGUUAACUCAGAAGACAAAGGAUCUCUGGUGAAGCUGGUGGAGGAUAUCAGGACCAAUUACAAUGACAGAUAUGAUGAGAUCCGUCGUCACUGUGGAGGCAAUGUCCUGGGUCCAAAAUCUGUAGCUCCAAUUGCCAGGCUGGAAAAGGCAAAGGCUAAGGAGCUGGCCACUAAGCUGGGCUAAGCCUGCAAUGUUGAUUUCUCUGUACAUGAAAAUAAUAAAACUGUCCUUCCUCCAG
Dipodomys ordii (Ord's kangaroo rat) is the source of this 828-nucleotide RNA transcript. It is a transcript of the gene named 60S ribosomal protein L7a pseudogene, with no coding region annotated. The transcript has a single exon. The record is from RefSeq and is a predicted model, not a curated record. Lineage: Eukaryota; Metazoa; Chordata; Mammalia; Rodentia; Heteromyidae.